AACUGAAGAGUUUGAUCAUGGCUCAGAUUGAACGCUGGCGGCAGGCCUAACACAUGCAAGUCGAGCGGUAACAGAUCUAGCUUGCUAGAUGCUGACGAGCGGCGGACGGGUGAGUAAUGCAUAGGAAUCUGCCCGAUAGUGGGGGAUAACCUGGGGAAACCCAGGCUAAUACCGCAUACGUCCUACGGGAGAAAGGGGGCUUCGGCUCCCGCUAUUGGAUGAGCCUAUGUCGGAUUAGCUAGUUGGUAAGGUAAUGGCUU
Molecule: ribosomal RNA, 260 nt
Filed under: Halomonas sp. HAL1
Lineage: Bacteria; Pseudomonadati; Pseudomonadota; Gammaproteobacteria; Oceanospirillales; Halomonadaceae
Description: partial 16S ribosomal RNA
Rfam family: Bacterial small subunit ribosomal RNA
Source: RNAcentral